Leersia perrieri is the source of this 155-nucleotide microRNA precursor. It matches the Rfam family "MIR812 microRNA precursor family", at positions 27 to 181 of the family's 205-position model. The record is from Rfam. Lineage: Eukaryota; Viridiplantae; Streptophyta; Magnoliopsida; Poales; Poaceae.
UCCAACUUUAAUCGUCCAUCUUAUUUUAAAAAAUUGUAUAACUAAUAUGUUUAUUGCUAUUAGAUGGUAACACAUAAAUAGUACUUUAUGCAUGACUAUUUUUUCUUAAUUUAUUCAUAAAAAUAUUGAAUAAGACGAACGAUCAAAGUUAGACA